This 1216-nucleotide ribosomal RNA is filed under the name Ophiognomonia leptostyla. RNAcentral describes it as "eukaryotic LSU rRNA". It matches the Rfam family "Eukaryotic large subunit ribosomal RNA", at positions 131 to 1373 of the family's 3401-position model. Lineage: Eukaryota; Fungi; Ascomycota; Sordariomycetes; Diaporthales; Gnomoniaceae. The record is from RNAcentral.
CUUCGGCCCGAGUUGUAAUUUGCAGAGGAUGUUUAUGGUGCGGUACCUUCCGAGUUCCCUGGAACGGGACGCCACAGAGGGUGAGAGCCCCGUCUGGUUGGAUACCAAACCUGUGUUAAACUCCUUCAACGAGUCGAGUAGUUUGGGAAUGCUGCUCUAAAUGGGAGGUAAAUCUCUUCUAAAGCUAAAUACUGGCCAGAGACCGAUAGCGCACAAGUAGAGUGAUCGAAAGAUGAAAAGCACCUUGAAAAGGGGGUUAAACAGUACGUGAAAUUGUUGAAAGGGAAGCGUUUAUGACCAGACUUGUGCCGUGUGGCUCAUCCGAGGUUCUCCCCGGUGCACUCCACGCGGCUCAAGCCAACAUCGGUUUUCGUUGGGGGAGAAGAACAGUGGGAACGUAGCUCCUCUCGGGGAGUGUUAUAGCCCAUUGUACGAUACCCUGGCGGGGACCGAGGACCGCGCUUCGGCUAGGAUGUUGGCGUAAUGGUCAUUAGCGACCCGUCUUGAAACACGGACCAAGGAGUCGUCCAUUAGAGCGAGCGUUUGGGUGUAAAACCCGCACGCGUAAUGAAAGUGAAAUUAGGUGAGAGCUUCGGCGCAUCAUCGACCGAUCCUGAAGUUUACGGAUGGAUUUGAGUAAGAGUUUUAACGGACGGACCCGAAAGACAGUGAACUAUGCUUGAAUAGGGUGAAGCCAGAGGAAACUCUGGUGGAGGCUCGCAGCGGUUCUGACGUGCAAAUCGAUCGUCAAAUUUGAGCAUGGGGGCGAAAGACUAAUCGAACUGUCUAGUAGCUGGUUACCGCCGAAGUUUCCCUCAGGAUAGCAGUGUUGAUCUUCAGUUUUAUGAGGUAAAGCGAAUGAUUAGGGACUCGGGGGCGCUUAUUAGCCUUCAUCCAUUCUCAAACUUUAAAUAUGUAAGAAGCCCUUGUUACUUAAUUGAACGUGGGCAUUCGAAUGUACCAACACUAGUGGGCCAUUUUUGGUAAGCAGAACUGGCGAUGCGGGAUGAACCGAACGGGGGGUUAAGGCGCCAGAAUGUACGCUCAUCAGACACCACAAAAGGCGUUAGUACAUCUUGACAGCAGGACGGUGGCCAUGGAAGUCGGAAUCCGCUAAGGACUGUGUAACAACUCACCUGCCGAAUGUACUAGCCCUGAAAAUGGAUGGCGCUCAAGCGUACUGCCCAUACCCCCCCUUCAGGGUAGAAACGAUGCC